RNAcentral lists this ribosomal RNA (433 nucleotides) under uncultured bacterium. RNAcentral describes it as "partial 16S ribosomal RNA". It matches the Rfam family "Bacterial small subunit ribosomal RNA", at positions 29 to 507 of the family's 1533-position model. The record is from RNAcentral.
GCGCACGCUGGCGGCAGGCCUCACCCAUGCCAUUCGAACGAACCUUUCGGGGUUAGUGGCGGACGGGUGAGUAACACGUGGGAACGUGCCUUUAGGUUCGGAAUAACUCAGGGAAACUUGUGCUAAUACCGAAUGUGCCCUUCGGGGGAAAGAUUUAUCGCCUUUAGAGCGGCCCGCGUCUGAUUAGCUAGUUGGUUGAGGUAAUGGCUCACCAAGGCGACGAUCAGUAGCUGGUCUGAGAGGAUGAUCAGCCACAUUGGGACUGAGACACGGCCCAAACUCCUACGGGAGGCAGCAGUGGGGAAUCUUGCGCAAUGGGCGAAAGCCUGACGCAGCCAUGCCGCGUGAAUGAUGAAGGUCUUAGGAUUGUAAAAUUCUUUCACCGGGGACGAUAAUGACGGUACCCGGAGAAGAAGCCCCGGCUAACUUCGUG